AUCACAAAAUGAAUUUUGUUGACCCACUUUCAGGUGCUCACACAAACAAGAUCGAAGCUUCUUGGGGCGCGGCAAAGGCAACUUUGCCACGCUACCACAGGAAGAAAGCUUUCUUUCCUGGCUAUUUAUCAAAGUAUGUAUUCAUGAAAUCAUGCAAAUUGAGGAAAGUUGACUGCUUUACUGAGUUCUGUAAGGAAGCAGGAAAUUUAUAUGACCCUGCAAAGCCAAAAGAUGGGGAAACCGAUGAUACUGAUGAAACUGACGAUUUGGAUUUGGAUGAUAUGAACUGAUUAGUAUAAGAACAAAAAUUGUGGAGAACAACCAAAAUUUAAGGCGUUUUAUAACAGGUUUCCAGUAACACAGAGUAGCCUAUUCAUUUCAAUUUUACAAUCAUAAUAUUGAUCAAAAUCUUCAUUAUCAUCAGUCAUCGGUUUCUCCUUUGGGGUCAUAUCUAGAUCCUGCUUCGUUGCAUAAAACAGUAGAGCACUUUCCCUAUCUACAAAAUGCAUGAUUUUGUUGAUAUAUAUUUUGACAAAUAGUUAAUGUGGAAGCCUCUUACUUCAAACAAUCAUAUUCUUCCCAUAAGACCAACACCUGUUCCACCUUCAACACAAAUCUGAACCAUCCUUAAAGCCACAUGAUGCUCCUCCCUCCCAUUCUUGAAACCCUUUCUCAUAAUAAUAGGCUAUAAUUCGGUGCUUUAUGCUUAUAAAUUCAAAAUUUUUAGCUCAUAUAUAUUUUGGACAAAAAUUGAACAUAAACUUUCAACAUUAAAUAGAUAGGCUAACCAUUUUUUCGAAAAUGUUAUUUAUUAUCAAAAUUAGCAAAUAGUAGGCCUAUAGUGUUGGGCUAAGCCUUUUGUUCUUUCCCAAUCAUAUUCAUAUGAUUGUAAUUUCAUCCAGAAAUAAAUAAACAAUGUUAUCCCUCCCCCUAUUAGCAUUUAUAUUUUCUAUAUUAAAAUUCAAUUCAAAUUUACUCUCGUUGAUUUGAACCAAUUCCAUUUUAAUUAUCACAAAAUAAUCAAAUCAUUACUCUUGGUCCAUUGUUUUCUUAAUAUUUAAAACUAUUUUAUCAUCAAAUUCAAAAAUGUUAGUAUUCUUGGAUCAAAAUUUUAAUUUAAAUAUAACAUAGAAGUACCGUAACCUUAUAGUUCUGCUAUAUAUCAAAAAUACAAAUAGAAAUAGCACAUCUUAACCCUAGUUUUUCCUUUAAUAUUAUAUCUCUUGUUAUUCUUUUGGUUGCAACAAUUAAUAAAUAAAAACAGUCCCCUCAAAAGUCACCUCCUGACAGCUAGAACUUACAGUAACUAACAGACUAUGAUAAUUUUGUAAUUCCAAUUUCUCACUAAUCAAGAUUCAUAGGCUUCAUUUUUUAUCCACAAAUUUAACAUUUUCCACAACGUGAGGUCCUUUUAAAGAAAAUAUUGAAACAAGUUCCAAGAAUAGCCACAUCUUUCUGAAUCCAAGUUCUUACCAGUAGUCCACUAUUUCUCAUCAAUUAGUCUACCAUUCAGUUUAUCAAAUUAUGUUUAUAAAUUUAUUACCAAUAGUCUACCAUUUCUAUUCUGCUCUGUUCAAUAUAUUCCAUUUCAAUGUUAUUUUACAUUCUGCCAGCAUGCUGAAGAAAUAAUCCUGUUUUCAACAAUCCAACAAUUCAUGCACUUUUUGAUCAACGUUUUCAAUUACUCCACUUACAAAAAAUAUUCACCAAAAAAACUCAAGUAACCAGUCAAAUUCUACUGUUGAUAAGUUGUGAUUUUAAAAGUGAGGUGAUCACAAGCGAUAACAUGAUUGUUAUCAAGAUAAAACAGUAGCUCUGCUCUCCGAUCCUCCUUCUAUCCUGAACCACAGUAUACAUACAGUACGGAAACUUGGCUAUACCCUGACGCCAAAAUCCGCCAUCUUGUUAGGAAGCGCCGCAUUGUAAUAGUAUUGAUGGUAGGUUCGGAUCACUUUAAUGAUCCAGAUCA
This is a long non-coding RNA of Nilaparvata lugens (brown planthopper), 1969 nucleotides long. RefSeq lists it as uncharacterized. Lineage: Eukaryota; Metazoa; Arthropoda; Insecta; Hemiptera; Delphacidae. The transcript is spliced from 3 exons. The record is from RefSeq and is a predicted model, not a curated record.